RNAcentral lists this ribosomal RNA (253 nucleotides) under uncultured bacterium. RNAcentral describes it as "partial 16S ribosomal RNA". It matches the Rfam family "Bacterial small subunit ribosomal RNA", at positions 524 to 776 of the family's 1533-position model. The record is from RNAcentral.
UACGUAGGGUGCGAGCGUUAAUCGGAAUUACUGGGCGUAAAGCGCGCGCAGGCGGUUUUGUAAGCCAGAUGUGAAAUCCCCGGGCUUAACCUGGGAAUGGCAUUUGGGACUGCAAGGCUUGAGUGCGGCAGAGGAGACUGGAAUUCCCGGUGUAGCAGUGAAAUGCGUAGAUAUCGGGAGGAAUACCGAUGGCGAAGGCAGGUCUCUGGGCUGACACUGACGCUCAUGCACGAAAGCGUGGGGAGCAAACAGG